GGCUCCCUAUGACUCUACCAAGACAAGAUAACCUCUCCUAUCUAAGACAGAAAGACAUGGCAACUCCCUCCAUUCCUGCCUCAACUACCAUAACCGUUCUUCCCACCAACACAAAACCCUCAUCACUUCCUUCAACCCUCAAAUCCCUCUCCCUCUCAGGCAAGCUAGACGAGGCCCUUCACCUCAUCGAGUCCCACCCGCUAACCCCUCUCCCUCUCCAAACCUACGACGCCCUUCUCCACGCCUGCAUCUCCAGAAAAUCCUUACACCACGGCCAGAGGCUCCAGAACCACCUCCUUCUCCGCCACUCAACAAAAGGAAAAAAGGGUCGUGGUGGUACUCAGCAAAGCCUUCUGGAAAAACCCGCCUUGAAAACCAAGCUCAUCACACUCUACUCCGUCUGCGGCCGGAUCGACCUGGCCCGCAGCGUUUUCGACUCCGCCCUCGUCAGAACCGCUCCCGAGUCGGUGUGGGUGGCGAUGGCAAUCGGUUACUCGCGAAACGGGUGUUCGAAAGAUGCCCUGUCUCUUUAUGUGGACAUGUUAAGGAGGUUCGUGCAGCCGGGUAAUUUCGCGUUCUCGGCGGCUCUCAAGUCGUGCGCUGAGUUGGGUGAUUUUCAGGUUGGUAGAGCUGUACAUGCCCAAAUUGUUAAGUGUAAGGAUGAGUCGGAUCAGGUUGUGUACAAUGCUCUUCUUAGGUUGUACUUGGAAUGUGGGUGUUUUGAGGACGUAGUCCGGGUGUUUGCCGAAAUGCCUGAACGAAAUAUUGUUUCUUGGAAUUCGUUGGUUUCUGGGUUUGCAGGGAGAGGUCAGCUGUUUGAGGCUUUUGAUGCUUUUAGGAGGAUGCAAGGAGAGGGAGUGGGGUUUAAUUGGGUUAGUUUGACUGCAGUGUUGCCCGUCUGUGCUCAAAUAAAUGCACUUUGCAGCGGGAAAGAGAUACAUGCCCAAAUGGCAAAAUCGGUCACCAGGCCGGAUAUGUUUGUGUUGAACUCGCUGAUGGACAUGUAUGCGAAAUGCGGAGUGGUGGAUUACGCUAGGAGGAUAUUUGAUGGAAUGGAGAGGAGAGAUUUGACGUCGUGGAAUACUGUGCUUAAUGGGUAUGCCAUUGCCAGGCGUAUGGAAGAAGGAUUGAAGUUGUUUGAUAAGAUGGUUGAUUCUGGAUUCAGCCCAGAUACGGUCACGUUUAUUGCGUUACUAUCAGGCUGCAGUCAUACGGGGCUCACGCAAGAGGGCCUGAAAUUGUUUCACAGGAUGCGCACGGAAUUUGGAAUCUCACCAAGUGCAGAGCAUUAUGCUUGUUUGGUAGAUAUGUUAGGUAGAGCAGGGAGGCUCAAGGAGGCACUGAAAGUAGUGAAAAGCAUGGGAAAGAAGCCCAGUGGUAGCAUAUGGGGUUCGUUGCUCAAUUCUUGCCGCCUUUAUGGUAACGUUCCUCUUGCAGAGGCUAUUGCAAAGGUUUUGUUUGAGAUUGAACCAAAAUAUCCUGUUAAUUACGUGAUGUUAUCGAACAUUUAUGCAAAUGCGGGACUGUGGGAGGGUGUUAAGAUUGUGAGAGAGAUGAUGGAAAAGCGUGGCGUCAAGAAAGAGGUUGGAUGCAGUUGGAUUGAGAUAAAAAAUAGGUUACACACUUUUGUGGCUGGGGGGGGUAUUGAACUUCGUAAUUCAGAGAAGUAUCAAAAGUUGUGGAGUGAGUUGAUGGAAGCUAUGAGAGGAGUUGGAUAUAAACCGGAUACUAGAGUUGUGCUGCAUGAUGUUAGUGAGGAAAUUAAGAAGGGAUGGGUUUGUGGACAUAGUGAGCGACUUGCGGCCAUGUUUGGACUCAUUCACACUAGAUCUGGAAUACCACUUAGGAUCACAAAUAAUCUUCGUGUGUGUGCAGAUUGUCACUCUUGGAUGAAGGCUCUGUCCCAAGUUACUAGAAGAGUGAUAGUGUUGAGGGACACAAAACACUUCCACCAUUUUGAAAAAGGGAGCUGCUCUUGCAAUGAUUACUGGUGAUUAUAGCAGGUAAACUAUCAUUCGUCUUUUUUUUUUUUCCUUUCAUCUGCUAUUAUACUUCUUCUCUAUGAUUGAGCAUUACAAGUUCUUCCUAUUCAAGAGCUAUCUCCAUCCCAGGCUUUUCAAAUAUCCUAUCUUCUGCCUUUGUGAUUGAGUAUCCAUGUUUUCUUAAGAUGAAAAUGAUUACCAUAGAAACCGCCAGUACUUUAUCAUAGACAUUUAGAAUUGUGAGAGUUGAGCUCAAAGCAAAGGGAUAGAAUUUUCAAUGAUUACAAUGGUGGUACUGUGUAGGCCGGGUUUAGGACUCCUCUGUUGGCGAGGAUUAUGUUGGAAAUUCGUGAUGGACCAAAUACACACUUGAACAAGUAGGAGAGACAUGAGGGAGGAGAUAACAUACAACUUGUGAUAAAAUACCUCAACAAUCUUUAGCACACUUGACUACUUCUUUGUAGUUCAUCCACUCAACUCAACCUCACUGUUUCUACUCACUCUCACACACUUAUCACUCGAUUACAAAGGUAUUUGUAGCCUCCUAGUGAUAUGAACCUAGCCAAGUUCAUGAGCCUCUACAUUCAUGACCCUUCAUCUACAUACAUGAAUACUGUAACUACUAACUAGUCUCUUUAACUACAUGCAUGUUCCUAAAAUCAAGUUUACUUUCCAACAAAUUACUCUUUAAGUUACUGGUUGGAGGAUGAUGACUUUCCUUAUUAACCUAUGCUCUCUGCAAGACAGAAGACCGUUAGUGACACUCCGGCUAGUGUUGACGUCUGAAAAAUGUCCUCCAAGGUCAAAUCGAUUUCCAUUCAAAGGCAAACUGUGGGCAAGAAGAAAUCACAAUAGCAGUAAUCAAACUGUAAAAUUACCUUACACUGCUCUGGUUAUGACUUUUCCCAGAUGGAUUGUGUUCUGCGCUCCUCUGGUAUUUAUAGGCGAAUUGGCCCACUAUCUACCCUUGGUGACCACCCUUUUAACUAUGUUUAUGUGCUAUUGUUACGGUUUUUUAAACGAGAUACUUGUGUGCGGUUCUGGACCUGCCCAUGCGGCUACAUGCCAACCCUAACUUUUUCUCUGGCUGAUGUGAGUCAUGUGACUGUUGACAGUCGUUUUGGGGGUGCAUGUCACAAUCCCUCUCGUAUAUUGGCUGACCCAUUCUGCGGAGUAAAAUCAUCCUCGGCUCCAAAGAGUGAUCGGUCUGUUACGUUGUCUUGGGAAACUCAAAUCCCACAAGCUAGCUAUUGAAGUGAGGCGGUGCCCUCAUGCUUAUAUGCUUCACAUUAUUUAGACGAUUCUUUUCCUUUUCUGGAAAAUAAUUCUAAGCAUAGGGACAGAGGGCUAUUCUUUUUGAGAAGAGAGUUGUAGAAAUUUUGGAGGCAAAGACGUUAGUGUUGUGACAGAUAGAAUAUGUAUAUUACUGCAGGUAAAAUGGGAAGAUGAAAACGAACUGUUUAAAUGCUGGUUUACUAUUAAUCUUUCCUCUCCUUUUGGUAUCUACUGUUUAGAGCAUUCAAACACACAGGAUGCAAAUGUGACCUGAUCUGACUCCCAUAUCCCCCAUUGUAAUUCUUUUUUCUUUUUUUCCUUUUUUGGCAAUGUGCUAUUUUCGUUUUUGAGCAAAAGUCUGACCUGAUCCAAAAUAGUGGACUUUGUAAUGGCAUGUUGUCGGGUAAAUAUAAACUUGUCCGGCCUGGGUUCAUUGGUUCGGGCUGCAACAAUGGCUGGUUGUUAUUAAGGGUAUUAGUAAUUCUAGGCUCCUGGAAUCUCAAUCCCAGAAAUGGAUGUGGCACUCCAAGCCAUCCAGUGGAUCCUGCUCAUUCAAACUUCAAAAUACACUGCUGGAAACACCUUCCCCCUGUUUCUCUCUCUCUCUCUCUCUCUGUCUGUCUGUCUGUCUCUCUCUCUCUCUCUCUCUCUCUCUCUCUCUCUCUCUCUCUCUCUCUCUCUCUCUUUUAUUGUGACUGAAGGAGGAACAAGUCUCGGACCACUAAUGCCUACCAGCCUUUACAACAUCGCCGCCGGAAGCCUUGUUUGGACCCAUGAUAUCGCCAAGUAAAUUUAGUGCUUCAAUUCUAUGUCAUGUUCGAUUUUCUCUCAAGAAAACGUUGAAUAAUACUUGGAAUGUUGUUUCUAGUAUUGUAGAAUUGCAAAACAUGAAUUAUCGGUGAAGCUAAUGUCCCAAUAUUUUCAAGCUCCUAUGACUUGUCUUGCUAUCAAACAAUGAAUAUCAUUAAUGGCAGCAUAGAAAAUGAUGGCCAUACUAAGGAAUUUUAUGGUCCAUUGAUAAUUCAGUCAUUUUUCUUGUCUAAGAAAUCAAACAACGGACUAGAUUGUCCAAAAGUAAUACUGAGACAAGGACUUGGCUUAUUAUUUAGUACAUCACCUAUUAAUGCCGGAAUUAGUAACACCCCACCAUUGUGUCUGGCAAUCAAACGUGUCCUUACAGUUUGUUGGUAUUAAACAUUGGUCCAAUGGUGUGCAAGGUGAAAGAGCCACUAAUAAAAAGGAAGGUGCCACCGGAACUUCUCUCUUCACCACACAUUUCCGUCAUUUCAACCACAAAGUACGUGAAGCUCACUCAAAUAUGCGAUAGAGUGAGAGUAAUGACACCACUGGACAAUUCUAGAGUGUCAUGUGAAAGCACACACAAAUAUGCUGCAAGAUAGAAAUCUAUCUUUUGUGAAUCUAACUAGUCCUAGUAUGGAUGGCUUGCCUUUGACCUGACCGGAGAGAGGAAUAGUCGAGGUGCGUGUAAGAUAGUCCACACACCCCUGACUGUCAAAAUAAUAGAAUAAUCGAGACUUCUCAUUAAGGGUGCAAACGAGCCAAGCCGAGCUUUAUAGUAUUCAAACUCUGCUCGUUUACUAAAUGAGCCCAAUACUCGAGCUCGGCUCGCUUGUAAAUGAGCCAAGCCCUUAACAAGCCGAGUUUGUCCAAUUUGUCUAACGAGCCUCUUUAUACGAGCCGAGCUUAGCUUUUGAGGGUUGAACUCAGGUCAUUUAUUAAAUGAGCCUAAGACUCAAGCUCGGCUCGAUUAUUAAGCUAGCUGAGUCGAGCCUUGACGAGCCGAGCAACGAGAGCGUUUCUCAUCUCUAGAAAAUAUAGAAGUGGAAUAUGUCCAUUCCCACCUCAACUACCAUACCUGUCCCAACUAACACAACACCCACACCCCACACCCACAAACCCCUCUACUGAACCGUCAAAUUCAUCACUGUAUCAGGUGAACUAGACGAGGCCCUUCAACUCAUCGUAUCCCACCCAAUAACUAGUUGAGUUUAGUUCACCCUCCACUUAAGAGGGUAAACAUUAACCCCCUUAUUAGUUGAAAUGAUGUGGAUCCCACCACAAAGUGAUGUCAUGCUUACCAAAAAGUGUAUUGCAUGGUUUGGACGUACACCAUUUCAACCAAUAAGAGGGAGUGUAAUGUUCACCCUCUUUUAAGGAUGGUGAACAAAAUUGCACUCCCUAAUAACCCAUCGAAACCUCCUCGCCUAUGAAACCUCCUCCAAGCCUGCAUCGCCAAGAAAUCCGUACACCAUGGCAAAAGACUCCACGAUCAACUCCUUCGCUCGCAAGAGUGAAAGGGCGCCCACCACAACCUCCUCAAGAACUCCUCGUCGAAAUCCAAGCUCAUUACCCUCUAUUCUGUUUGCAAUCAAAUCAACCUGGCCCGCCUCCUUUUUUACAAUGGCAGGAUCGAAAUGAUUCCCGAGUCUGUUUAGGCGUCGAUGGCGAUUGGGUACUUGCGAAAUGGGUAUUUGAAGGAUGCUCUGUCUCUUUACCUGGAUAUGUUGAGGUUUUUGCAACCGGGUUAUUUUUUGUUCUCGGUUGAGCUCAAGUUGUGUGGUGAAUUGUUUAUUGUUCGGGUUGGGAAAGGGGUUCAUGCUCAGGUUGUUAAGAGUGAGGAAGGACCGGAUCAGUUUGUGUACAAUGGGCUUCUUAGGUUGUACUCGGAAUGUGGGUGUUUUGAGGACGUAGUUCACUAGUUCAGGUGUUCGACGAGAUGCCUGAACGAGAUAUUGUUUCUUGGUAUUCGUUGAUUUCUGGGUUUGCUGGGAGAGGGUCAGCUGUUUGAGCCUUUUGAUGCUUUUAGGAGGAGGCAGGGAGAGGGAGUGGGAUUUGAUGGGUUUACUUUUGACUGCAGUGUCACCCGUCUGUGCUUGAAUAAAUGCACUCUCUGGUGGAAGAGAGAUACAUGCCCAACAUCAAAUGGUGAAGUCGGUCGUCAGACCGAAUAUGUUUGCGGUAAGUUUGCUUAUGGACAUGUAUGCGAAAUGUGGAGUUGUGGACUACGCUAGGAGAAUAUUUGAUGGGAUGGGAAGGAGGGAUUUGAGGUCGUGGAAUGCUGUGCUUUACAAUAUGCAAUCGCCAGACGUAUGGAAGACGGAUUGAAGUUGUUUAAUGAGAUGCUUGGUUCUGGAUUCAGCCUUAAUACGGUCACGUUUGAUGCCUUUGUAUCAGGUUGCAGCUACAUGGGGCUCACAAAAGACGGAGAGACAUUGUUUCACAGAAUGUGAAUCGAAUUUGGAAUAUCACCGACACCGAGUGUAGAGCAUUAUGCUUGUUUGGUAGAUGUACUAGGUAGGGCAGGGAGACUCAAGGAGGCACUGGGAGUAGUGAAAAACAUGCAUCAGAAGCCCAGUAGUCACAUAUGGUGUUUAUUACUCAAUUCAUCCCACAUUUAUGUCGACGUUCGUCUUGCAGAGAGACUAUUUCAAAGGUUUUGUUUGAGAUUGAACCAAAAUAUGUAGAGAAUUACGUGGUGUUGUUGAACAUUUAUGAAAAUGCGGGACUAUGGGAGGGUGUAAGAUGGUGAGAGAGAUGAUGGAAAAGCAUGGCAUCAAGAAAGAGGUUGGAUGCAGCUGGAUUGAAAUAAAAAGUAGGUUCCACACUUUUGUGGCUGGUGGGGAUCCUGAACUUGGUAGUUCAGAGGAGUAUCAGAAGUUGUGGAGUGAAUUUAAGGAAGCUAUGAGAGGCGUUGGGUAUGAACCGGAUAAUGGGGUUGUGCUGCAUGAUGUUUAUGAGGAAAUUAAGAAGGCGUGGAUUUGCGGACAUAGUGAGCUACUUGCGGCCAUGUUUGGACUCAUUCACUCGGGAUCUGGAAUAUCACUCAGGAUCAUGAAGAAUUUUUAUGUUUGUGCAGAUUGUCACUCUUGGAUGAAGACUGUGUCCCAAGUAUUGAGGAAAAUGAAACACUUCCGCCAUUUUGAAAAAAGGGAGCUGUCCUUGCAAGGAUUACUGGUGAUAUCACCAGUUCCGACUGAGAACCUGCGAUUUCCUUGGAUUGCUCGUAAACUGCUUCAGCAUGCUUCAGCACAACAUUUACAUGAUCUUCAACAUUCUUUGUCAUUUUGGACACUUGUUGGGUUUGAACAUCGAUUGAAACCAAAGAAUCAUGUAUGUGGUUUGAACUGUAUACUUUUGGAGCACACUGUCAUGGCCAUGGUGUUUUAGUGAUGGAAUUCUAGCAAAAUUAUGCAAGGUGUUUCCAAAGCGCUAACCACAAUCCUUUGGACAGCAAUUAAGUUUCAAUCAUGAUGCUGGAAAAUUUGCAAAUUGUGUACAAAAUGUAGAAGGGUAUUGACAUCUGUAUACUGUUUAUUGAGGUUCUAACUCUUUAUUUUUUUAUUUUUUUAAUACAUAUUUUGCCCCUUAUAUGUAAAACAUUAAUAUGGUUAAAGGUGAAAAAUGCUUGUUGACAAAUACCAAAAGCUUCUAGAAAUAUGUCAAAGUGUACCAAAAUUCAUAUAAUUUUUACUGGAGUUCCAACUUUUUC
Molecule: RNA transcript, 7767 nt
Organism: Rhododendron vialii
Lineage: Eukaryota; Viridiplantae; Streptophyta; Magnoliopsida; Ericales; Ericaceae
Gene name: pentatricopeptide repeat-containing protein At3g14330
Exons: 4
Source: RefSeq, a predicted model, not a curated record